UUCUGAGGAAGUCUGCUUUUUGAAAGCAUGCUUGCAUUUGGCGUAAAGCCACAUAGAAAGAUCCGUUCUCGAGUAAGGCUCGAAAUGUUUGCUUUUAACGUGACGGCGGAAACUCCGCUAGCUGCCUAUGUUGGAGUCAGUAUUAUGACAUAUGGAUUGAAUUUGCAGAAGAAAUUACUGCCAAUUUGAGAAAUCAUUAAUGCAUAAUGGAGCAAUGUGACUAGGCCGCAACAGCGUGGACAUGUGAAGUGUCGGUGAUAAACUCAGAUCGAUGCAGGGUUUUUUGAGGUGGUUGCACAUCCACACGUGGGAAUAAGGGUGGUGUGCUUUCAGAGGAAGGUCGACCAGUGGCCCUUUUGUGACAGAAUGCAUGGAAGAGGUUUCGGUAUGGAUGGAUCUCAGGGACAGCAGUAUAAAAUCAGACUACGAUGACCAAGAAAUCGACAUCCAGAGGUGAAUUCAGGAUUCUUUUGGAUUUGCUGUACAUGUAACAGAUAUUUAGCACGACAUGUAACAAAUGUACUUUAUUAAUAAAGAUUUGUCAAUGAA
This is a long non-coding RNA of Scatophagus argus, 549 nucleotides long. RefSeq lists it as uncharacterized. The record is from RefSeq and is a predicted model, not a curated record. Lineage: Eukaryota; Metazoa; Chordata; Actinopteri; Scatophagidae. The transcript is spliced from 4 exons.